Molecule: non-coding RNA, 403 nt
Organism: Vigna umbellata (rice bean)
Lineage: Eukaryota; Viridiplantae; Streptophyta; Magnoliopsida; Fabales; Fabaceae
Source: RefSeq, a predicted model, not a curated record
ACUGAAUGACAGUGUAAUUCGUGUACAAGCUAUUGCAGAAGCAGCACACAGCAUCAAUCCCAAUGUCAUCGUGUUGUGCCAUGGAGGUCCAAUAUCUGGUCCAAAGGAAGCGGAAUUCAUAUAUAAAGAGAAACCAAAGGAGUACCAUGGGGUUUUAUGGGCUUCAAAGUCGGAAAGACUCCGGUUUAGGCAGGCUAUUACAAAUACAGUUAAAGAGUACAAGUCAAUUUCUAUUCAUUAAGGUUUAACAUGUCUGUACUUUUUUCAUGUCAGUUUUCUGUUCAUUAUAUUGCUAAUGUGGCUGUUAUUUUGUCAUUGCAUAGAGUUUGUGAACAUUAUAGGAUUUACUGAUAUAAAAUUUUGGAAAUCAUGAACACAAGUAUUGUUCAGCCGUUUUCUUUUA